RNAcentral lists this ribosomal RNA (491 nucleotides) under uncultured bacterium. RNAcentral's name for it is "partial 16S ribosomal RNA". It matches the Rfam family "Bacterial small subunit ribosomal RNA", at positions 29 to 507 of the family's 1533-position model. The record is from RNAcentral.
GUGAACGCUGGCGGUAGGCCUAACACAUGCAAGUCGAACGGCAGCACCGUAAGAGCUUGCUCUUACGGGUGGCGAGUGGCGGACGGGUGAGGAAUACAUCGGAAUCUACUUUUUCGUGGGGGAUAACGUAGGGAAACUUACGCUAAUACCGCAUACGACCUACGGGUGAAAGCAGGGGAUCUUCGGACCUUGCGCGAUUGAAUGAGCCGAUGUCGGAUUAGCUAGUUGGCGGGGUAAAGGCCCACCAAGGCGACGAUCCGUAGCUGGUCUGAGAGGAUGAUCAGCCACACUGGAACUGAGACACGGUCCAGACUCCUACGGGAGGCAGCAGUGGGGAAUAUUGGACAAAGGGCGCAAGCCUGAUCCAGCCAUACCGCGUGGGUGAAGAAGGCCUUCGGGUUGUAAAGCCCUUUUGUUGGGAAAGAAAAGCAGCAGGUUAAUACCCCGCUGUUCUGACGGUACCCAAAGAAUAAGCACCGGCUAACUUCGUG